This 2921-nucleotide long non-coding RNA is filed under the name Pelobates cultripes (western spadefoot toad). The record is from RNAcentral. Lineage: Eukaryota; Metazoa; Chordata; Amphibia; Anura; Pelobatidae.
AUUUUUUCAUUCUUUAAGGUUUCACAGAGUCCUAGUACAUCUACCUAUUCUCUCUGAAGCUCACAGUUUGUUUCAUAAAAAGUAUACCCCUCUUUAAUGUUUAGAGAGUUUGCAAAGAUCAUUUGUAUUUGCCACCUCCUUGAGUGUUGUUAUGGGGCCUUUAAACAAAUUAUUGUUCACAGAAUAUAAAUCUUGAGCUCUGAUCAGUCAUCGUCCAGUAACAUAUGUGUAUGCAGUCCAUAAUAAUCUAGAGUUCACGGAUGCUUAGCAAUCAAUUCAUACACAGAAGAUUUCAGGACAUUCUUUAUAAAUGUACCUCAAUUCAGAAAUGCAUUUUUUUUGUUUUUGUUUUUUUACUUCAUAUCACAGGUUUGGUACUGUUUGAUACCAGAGUAACAUUUUGUAAGUCAUAAUUUCUAUGGAGAGAAAGAUAAAAUCCCUAACAAUUAAUAUAAACUGACAAAAUGUACAUUCUCCUCUCUUUAAAAAAAAAAAAUUUAAAAAAAAUAAAAGUUAAAAUGAACAUUAUUCAAAAUGUGAAUUAGCUAUUAGACAUACAAUACAAUUACAUAGAUACAUAUUUAUCAAUAACAGCACAUUCAAUCUGCCAAAAAACUAAUGAUUACAAAGCCAAUAUGGAUGCUGCCAUAUAUAUAUAUAUAUUUAGAGAGAGAGAGAGGGGGGGGAGGGGAGGGAGAGAUUAAGAGUAAGAGAGAUGUAUGUACAAUGAUUAUCGCAUUCAGAGUUGUACUAUACCUACAACUGUUACUUUAAAUGGUUAAAUUACAUGUUUGCUGCGGGAUGGAAAUUAUAAUUAUUUUAAGGAAUUUGCCUUUUUUUAUUUGUAUGAAGAUAAUGUUAAUCAUUCAGGCAUUUAAUCCUUCCAGUGUCUGGCAAACCCAGAUUAUUUUGGGACCAAAUUGGUUAAAUGUAAACAUCUUGUAUGCAAUUACUGUUGAUUCCCCAAUCCUUAUCUGCAUCCCUGAGGCAGUGACUCCAGCAUUUGUAAACCCACUGCGUUGCAUAGCAACUAAACCAAUGGCACAACUGAUUUCCUUCCCCACUUGCUAGAAAUCUGCCAAUGGUUACUAGAGGAGAAUAAAUAAAAAAAAUACAACGCCGUGCAAUGGAAAACACGGAUAGACGUGUGCUUUAAAUAUAUUUGCUUUCCCAACUUUUUUGAAAUUUUAACAAAUAUUAAGGGUCUUUAAAGUGAAAAAAGAAAUAUAUACUAAUUUUUUUCUUUUGCAGGAAGAGCAUACGAGUAUCUGGCAGAAUUAUUAAACAGCAAACUAAUUCCCAACACUGAGGCCUCUUGGUUUGCUCACAAACCUCAAAAAUAUUCUUUAAUUAUGAAAGCCUGCAAUACAUUGCACAUUUAAAUUUUGUUGCAGACAUCCACCAACCUAGAAAUAGAGUUUAAUAAACUAUGCAUAUUAAACCACACUAUGAUUAAGGACUCAAGUCACCAUAUUUAAAUACGAAGCUCUCUGCACGGGUAGCAUAUGCAAUAUUUUUGUUUAUUUGGCAAAGUUAAUGGAAUACCAUGAUAAGGGAUUUGAAAACACCUAGAAAUGUUAAGUGAAACAGAUAACCAUUUGGCAGUCACCAGAUAAAGUUGGAACCUAAUGAGUUAUUUUGGCAUUUCAUCUUCUAUGUACAGUACAAAAAGAAAGCCAUCUUUUGGCAACUGGAAAUUUGAUCUUAAUUAAUAAAAAGAAUCUGAAAUACCUUUAAAAAAACAAAACAAAAAAAAACAUUUAGCUGGGGUGUAGUGUUAAUGGCAUUCUGUAUGUGCAAGCGAAAAUAAAAUAAUAAAAUAUAUAUAAUUUUUUUUUCUUUUUUUUUUUUUUUAAACUUUCCCUUCCACAUUGGCACGUUGCAAAUAAUACAUGCUCACUCUAUUCUCCUCUCUUGGGUACAUGGAGUUUCUUAAUAUAUUUUAACCACUUGCCAUUGCGUUUCUUAAUUAACGGAUGGCAAAAAAUUGAACCCACUGAGUAAGUAGUUCUAGUUAUACUUCGAAGUGACAAAAGACAACCAAAAAAAAAAAAAAAAGUUUACUCUAUACAGGUCAAUAAUUUAAAAAUCACAGUAUCAAUACUUUUUUUUUUUUUUUAAUCCUUAAAAAGUAUAUAAAUUAGCAAAAGCAGAUGGCUUAAAUAAAAUAAAAAUUAUGCCUAAUUGUUUAGUACUAGAAGCGGCUCAGGAAGGAAUGAUUGUGGGGAAGGGAAAAGUAACCUACUUUAAAAGAGUAAAAUACCCUGGGGCAGUAAGGGCCUCCGAGCCUCAUGCGGAAUUGAAAGCACCCUGCUCCCUUCUUAAAACUUGAAACACAAAAACUAAACCGGCCUUGUGAGUGCACGACUGAGAAUGAAAACACGUCGUCUUCUCCUAGAAAAUUGUGCCGCUGUAUAUGGCAGCUACGUUUUUGUUUUCCUCUACGUAGUUUAAAUAAAAUCAUAAUAAUUACUACAAACUCUGUGGACUUUCACAGAGUCCAGGACGGCAAUAAAUUAGUAUUAUGCAAAUUGUUUGUUUUUUCCUCUUAUCGAUAAUACAGUCCUCCUUGUAUUUUCUUCAAUGGCCCAAAUGGAGAUAGGGAAAGCUAGCAGGCAUAGUUAGACCAGGUUAUAUUCCUUCAGAUUCAGCUGUAGGAUCGUGUCCUUGACAGCAGCAAAGACGAAGCGAAUGUUCUCUGUGUCUGUGGCGCAGGUGAAGUGCGAGUAGAUGAUUUUGUCACUGUCAGGAUUCAGAUCUACAAACAUCUUUAAAAUGAAUUCUCUUGCUGCUUGUGCAUCACGUUGUGGCCCUGUUUGUGGAUUAAAAGAAAUAAUAAAAAAAGUUUGUAAGAAUUGUGUUUAGAAUUCAGUAUUCUUCAUUAGAAUGACAGUCUGUACUUCAUUAAACCAAGUUUAUUC